RNAcentral lists this ribosomal RNA (554 nucleotides) under Staphylococcus aureus. Its description in RNAcentral is "partial 23S ribosomal RNA". It matches the Rfam family "Bacterial large subunit ribosomal RNA", at positions 1286 to 1836 of the family's 2925-position model. The record is from RNAcentral. Lineage: Bacteria; Bacillati; Bacillota; Bacilli; Caryophanales; Staphylococcaceae.
AAGUGAGAAUGCCGGUGUGAGUAGCGAAAGACGGGUGAGAAUCCCGUCCACCGAUUGACUAAGGUUUCCAGAGGAAGGCUCGUCCGCUCUGGGUUAGUCGGGUCCUAAGCUGAGGCCGACAGGCGUAGGCGAUGGAUAACAGGUUGAUAUUCCUGUACCACCUAUAAUCGUUUUAAUCGAUGGGGGGACGCAGUAGGAUAGGCGAAGCGUGCGAUUGGAUUGCACGUCUAAGCAGUAAGGCUGAGUAUUAGGCAAAUCCGGUACUCGUUAAGGCUGAGCUGUGAUGGGGAGAAGACAUUGUGUCUUCGAGUCGUUGAUUUCACACUGCCGAGAAAAGCCUCUAGAUAGAAAAUAGGUGCCCGUACCGCAAACCGACACAGGUAGUCAAGAUGAGAAUUCUAAGGUGAGCGAGCGAACUCUCGUUAAGGAACUCGGCAAAAUGACCCCGUAACUUCGGGAGAAGGGGUGCUCUUUAGGGUUAACGCCCAGAAGAGCCGCAGUGAAUAGGCCCAAGCGACUGUUUAUCAAAAACACAGGUCUCUGCUAAACCGUAA